ACUUCAUGGAGAGUUUGAUCCUGGCUCAGGACGAACGCUGGCGGCGUGCCUAAUACAUGCAAGUCGAGCGCAGGAAACUGACGGAACUCUUCGGAGGGAAGGCAGCGGAAUGAGCGGCGGACGGGUGAGUAACACGUAAGGAACCUGCCUCAAGGAUUGGGAUAACUCCGAGAAAUCGGAGCUAAUACCGGAUAGUUCAACGGACCGCAUGGUCCGCUGAUGAAAGGCGCUCCGGCG
This 237-nucleotide ribosomal RNA is filed under the name Exiguobacterium indicum. Its description in RNAcentral is "partial 16S rRNA. Bacterial SSU". It matches the Rfam family "Bacterial small subunit ribosomal RNA", at positions 1 to 217 of the family's 1533-position model. The record is from RNAcentral. Lineage: Bacteria; Bacillati; Bacillota; Bacilli; Caryophanales.